CUUAACCCUCAUCUGUCAGAGCCUGUCUCUCUCACACGCCUCCCUCUCCUUCUAACCCUCAGAAAGCAACGGACCCAGUGUGAAAACACCUUAAGAAACUCUUUUGAUGGGCACCGGAAGGUUACGCUGGACCGCGGAAGCUGUCGAGUGCGCGCCGGUGUCUGGCCACUUCGAGAGAGCAGUGUUCAUGCAGGAUUUGGUGAACCAGCAGCCCUUUCUUGGUGUCCAUCCGACUAGUUCACUGAUGUGCUAGGCAGCCAUUAAGGCAAUCAAGGGGCGGUGACAACUGAAAGGUGAUUUCAGAGGAGGUGGGUAUUUUAAAAAGCUGUUUUCUGUACUACGCUCCAUGAAGGAGGUGUCAUGCAGCCCUAACAAAGUAUAUCACAUAUGCAAUUUAAUCAUGAUUAAAUCAUUCGUUUUUAUACUGCGUCACAAUAUAAAUGUUUGUGUUAACCCAAGUAUUGAAAGGCCUUUUUAAUACUUUUCUGUUCAAGGGCAAAGGGUUCAGUCUGUAAUGCAUUAAGUUGGUUGCCAUAUGAUAAUAUUUUGGCUUUUAAUCAUAUAAUCAAUGAAGAUCAAAAUUUGUGAAAAUUUCAACAGUGUCAAUGUUUUGUCUUGUACACCAAGUUGUGCGUCAGACUUCGGGCAAGUUAAGUAAAAGAUACGAAGUAGUCAGGACCCGAGUGGGACUGAAUUUGUGACCGGGAGUUCGAGCCCCUAGACAGCCCAAUAAAUAUCUAAACAAUCACACUAUUGUUUAUGUUUCUAUUCAGAUAUAAGUAAUAUAGUGUUAAAGCCUGGCACAGCUUUGAUAGA
This is a long non-coding RNA of Brienomyrus brachyistius, 816 nucleotides long. RefSeq lists it as uncharacterized. The record is from RefSeq and is a predicted model, not a curated record. Lineage: Eukaryota; Metazoa; Chordata; Actinopteri; Osteoglossiformes; Mormyridae. The transcript has 3 exons.